AGAACGAACGCUGGCGGCAUGCCUAAUACAUGCAAGUCGAACGAGAUCUUCGGAUCUAGUGGCGCACGGGUGCGUAACGCGUGGGAAUCUACCCUUGGGUUCGGAAUAACAGUUGGAAACGACUGCUAAUACCGGAUGAUGACGAAAGUCCAAAGAUUUAUCGCCCAGGGAUGAGCCCGCGUAGGAUUAGCUAGUUGGUGAGGUAAAGGCUCACCAAGGCUACGAUCCUUAGCUGGUCUGAGAGGAUGAUCAGCCACACUGGGACUGAGACACGGCCCAGACUCUACGGGAGCAGC
This 296-nucleotide ribosomal RNA is filed under the name uncultured soil bacterium. RNAcentral describes it as "partial 16S ribosomal RNA". It matches the Rfam family "Bacterial small subunit ribosomal RNA", at positions 26 to 352 of the family's 1533-position model. The record is from RNAcentral.